GCAUCAGCGCCGGGCCUGCCGUUCCCGCUGCUGGAACCGUUCACGACCCCCGCCCCUGCCCCCACCGGACCGUUCCUGCCCUACUUGAACCCUGCGCCCUUUGGCCUAAGCCCCCCGCGCCUGCGCCCCUUCCUGGCCGCUGCACCCGGGCCGCCGGCUUCCAGCGCCGCCGUCUGGAAAAAGAGCCAAGGUGAGUGUGGGGUCGGGGGCCUCCAGGAGGGCGGGCUGGGCUCGCCCUGACUCUGAACUUGACCCGCCCCUUUACCGCAGGUGCUGGCAGCAGCCCCCGAAGACCCCAGGGCGGCUCCGACGCGCCCUCAGGGCACGCGGCCCCGAGCCGCAUCGUGUGGGAGCACACACGCGGCCGC
This 368-nucleotide small RNA is filed under the name Pan troglodytes (chimpanzee). RNAcentral describes it as "retained intron". The record is from RNAcentral. Lineage: Eukaryota; Metazoa; Chordata; Mammalia; Primates; Hominidae.